This 430-nucleotide long non-coding RNA is filed under the name Macaca mulatta (Rhesus monkey). Its description in RNAcentral is "lncRNA (ENSMMUG00000052978.1)". Lineage: Eukaryota; Metazoa; Chordata; Mammalia; Primates; Cercopithecidae. The record is from RNAcentral.
AUGCAUUGGCACCAUCAGUAUCAACGUCCAGAAUGUCAAUGAUGAGAGUCCUGUUCUUGCAUCUGUACCAGAUGCACCUAUAAAUAUUUAUGAAAAUCUCUCUGUUGGAACAAAGCUGGUCACAUUGACAGCGACUGAUCGAGACAUAGGGGACUCAGUACAUUAUGAGCUUAUAGGGACACAAAAAGAAUUUUCUAUAAAUGAAGGUAAAUAAUAAUUUUAUGGAGAAUGAUUUUAUAAAAUAUAUUAAACAGUGUUUUUUAACUAGUGAAAAAUAAACCUGAUUAUUAAGAUGAAACAAUCUUUAAAAUAUUUAGCAGCAUACUUAGCAUAUUUUCAUGAGGUAGAAAUGAUUAUUUCUUCCUUCUCAGAAGUAUGGAAAUGGUUGGUAUAAUCUGGCUGCUACAGGAAGCUCCCAAACAAUUCAAAC